AAAAUUUGUCCAAAUCCCGUAGCAUUUCCUUUUGUUUAAAAAUGAUGGGUUUACUUGGCAGUGGAAGUAUAACAGCAUAGCACGACCAUCAAAGCUUUGAUUAGUGUGUCAACAAGUGCUGUGUCAUUCACCAAGACCACUGGUGUAGCCUAAGUGUUCUACACUUUAUUAAUGAAUAAUUGUUAUGUUUUUAACUUAUUUAUAUUUAAUACUCAUCUAUU
This 221-nucleotide unclassified non-coding RNA is filed under the name Hevea brasiliensis (rubber tree). The record is from RNAcentral. Lineage: Eukaryota; Viridiplantae; Streptophyta; Magnoliopsida; Malpighiales; Euphorbiaceae.